This 633-nucleotide ribosomal RNA is filed under the name Microbacterium sp. So3Pt_88. RNAcentral describes it as "bacterial SSU rRNA". It matches the Rfam family "Bacterial small subunit ribosomal RNA", at positions 382 to 1024 of the family's 1533-position model. Lineage: Bacteria; Bacillati; Actinomycetota; Actinomycetes; Micrococcales; Microbacteriaceae. The record is from RNAcentral.
CCUGAUGCAGCAACGCCGCGUGAGGGACGACGGCCUUCGGGUUGUAAACCUCUUUUAGCAAGGAAGAAGCGAAAGUGACGGUACUUGCAGAAAAAGCGCCGGCUAACUACGUGCCAGCAGCCGCGGUAAUACGUAGGGCGCAAGCGUUAUCCGGAAUUAUUGGGCGUAAAGAGCUCGUAGGCGGUUUGUCGCGUCUGCUGUGAAAUCCCGAGGCUCAACCUCGGGUCUGCAGUGGGUACGGGCAGACUAGAGUGCGGUAGGGGAGAUUGGAAUUCCUGGUGUAGCGGUGGAAUGCGCAGAUAUCAGGAGGAACACCGAUGGCGAAGGCAGAUCUCUGGGCCGUAACUGACGCUGAGGAGCGAAAGGGUGGGGAGCAAACAGGCUUAGAUACCCUGGUAGUCCACCCCGUAAACGUUGGGAACUAGUUGUGGGGUCCAUUCCACGGAUUCCGUGACGCAGCUAACGCAUUAAGUUCCCCGCCUGGGGAGUACGGCCGCAAGGCUAAAACUCAAAGGAAUUGACGGGGACCCGCACAAGCGGCGGAGCAUGCGGAUUAAUUCGAUGCAACGCGAAGAACCUUACCAAGGCUUGACAUACACGAGAACGCUGCAGAAAUGUAGAACUCUUUGGACA